RNAcentral lists this ribosomal RNA (501 nucleotides) under uncultured Glomeromycotina. RNAcentral's name for it is "partial small subunit ribosomal RNA". It matches the Rfam family "Eukaryotic small subunit ribosomal RNA", at positions 591 to 1091 of the family's 1831-position model. Lineage: Eukaryota; Fungi; Glomeromycota. The record is from RNAcentral.
CCAAUAGCGUAUAUUAAAGUUGUUGCAGUUAAAAAGCUCGUAGUUGAACUUCGGGGUUCACCCAUUGGUCAGGCUUAAUUGUCUGUACUGGUGAGAUGAAUCUCUACCUUCUGAGGAACUUUCAUGCCAUUUAUUUGGUGUGAUUGGAAAUCAGGACUGUUACUUUGAAAAAAUUAGAGUGUUUAAAGCAGGCUAACGUCUGAAUACAUUAGCAUGGAAUAAUGAAAUAGGACGGAUUGAUUCUAUUUCGUUGGUUUCUAGGAUCACCGUAAUGAUUAAUAGGGAUAGUUGGGGGCAUUAGUAUUCAAUUGUCAGAGGUGAAAUUCUUGGAUUUAUUGAAGACUAACUACUGCGAAAGCAUUUGCCAAGGAUGUUUUCAUUAAUCAAGAACGAAAGUUAGGGGAUCGAAGACGAUCAGAUACCGUCGUAGUCUUAACCAUAAACUAUGCCGACUAGGGAUCGGACGCAGUUAAUUUUAUAAUGACGUGUUCGGCACCUUAC